UACAGAGGGUGCGAGCGUUAAUCGGAAUUACUGGGCGUAAAGGGUGCGUAGGUGGCGAGAUAAGUCAGGUGUGAAAUCCCCGGGCUCAACCUGGGAACGGCGCUUGAGACUGUUUAGCUAGAGUACUGUAGAGGGAAGUAGAAUUUCCGGUGUAGCGGUGAAAUGCGUAGAUAUCGGAAGGAAUACCAGUGGCGAAGGCGGCUUUCUGGACAGUAACUGACACUGAGGCACGAAAGCGUGGGUAGCAAACAGG
Molecule: unclassified non-coding RNA, 253 nt
Filed under: uncultured Gammaproteobacteria bacterium
Lineage: Bacteria; Pseudomonadati; Pseudomonadota; Gammaproteobacteria
Description: contains 16S-23S intergenic spacer region
Rfam family: Bacterial small subunit ribosomal RNA
Source: RNAcentral